CAGUAGCCACGGUAAUACGUAGGGUGCAAGCGUUAAUCGGAAUUACUGGGCGUAAAGCGUGCGCAGGCGGUUAUAUAAGUCAGAUGUGAAAUCCCCGGGCUCAACCUGGGAACUGCAUUUGAGACUGUAUGGCUAGAGUGUGUCAGAGGGGGGUAGAAUUCCUGGUGUAGCAGUGAAAUGCGUAGAGAUCAGGAGGAACACCGAUGGCGAAGGCAGCCCCCUGGGCCUGUACUGACGCUCAUGCACGAAAGCGUGGGGAGCAAACAGGAUUAGAUACCCCCGUAGUCCCUGUCUCUUAUAC
RNAcentral lists this ribosomal RNA (301 nucleotides) under uncultured bacterium. Its description in RNAcentral is "partial 16S ribosomal RNA". It matches the Rfam family "Bacterial small subunit ribosomal RNA", at positions 509 to 807 of the family's 1533-position model. The record is from RNAcentral.